Molecule: non-coding RNA, 131 nt
Organism: Paramuricea clavata
Lineage: Eukaryota; Metazoa; Cnidaria; Anthozoa; Malacalcyonacea; Plexauridae
Source: the annotation of a GenBank genome assembly
UUUAUACGUCGAAUUUUGGUCGCGUCGAAUGAGAUUUAACAAUAGAUAAUGAAGCUUAAAUUAAUGAGGCUUAUCAUCUUAUUAUUUAUUGUCUUAAUUGCAUUCGACGCGACCAAAAUUCGACGCAUAAA